GGGGGGGGGUGGCGGGGGGCGGGACGGAGGCGGGUCGAGCGGGGGCGCGGGCUUCGGCCUGGCGGCGAGGGGCGAACGGGUGAGUAAUACAUCGGAGCGUGCCCAGUAGUGGGGGAUAGCUCGGCGCAGGCCGGCGUAAGGCCGCAUACGACCUGAGGGUGAAAGCGGGGGAUCUUCGGACCUCGCGCUAGUGGAGCGGCCGCGGGCAGAUUAGCUAGCUGGUGGGGUAAAGGCCUACCACGGCGACGCUCUGCAGCUGGUCUGAGAGGACGACCAGCCACACUGGGACUGAGACACGGCCCAGACUCCUACGGGAGGCAGCAGUGGGGAAUUUUGGACAAUGGGCGAAAGCCUGAUCCAGCAAUGCCGCGUGUGUGAUGAAGGCCUUCGGGUUGUAAAGCACUUUUGGCGGGAACGAAAAGGACUGUGCCAAUACCACGGUUCGAUGACGGUACCCGCAGAAUAAGCACCGGCUAACUACGU
RNAcentral lists this ribosomal RNA (483 nucleotides) under uncultured bacterium. RNAcentral describes it as "partial 16S ribosomal RNA". It matches the Rfam family "Bacterial small subunit ribosomal RNA", at positions 37 to 506 of the family's 1533-position model. The record is from RNAcentral.